GACGAACGCUGGCGGCGUGCUUAACACAUGCAAGUCGAACGGAAAGGCCCUGCUUUUGUGGGGUGCUCGAGUGGCGAACGGGUGAGUAACACGUGAGUAACCUGCCCUUUACUUUGGGAUAACUUCAGGAAACUGGGGCUAAUACCGGAUAGGAGCUCCUGCUGCAUGGUGGGGGUUGGAAAGUUUCGGCGGUUGGGGAUGGACUCGCGGCUUAUCAGCUUGUUGGUGGGGUAGUGGCUUACCAAGGCUUUGACGGGUAGCCGGCCUGAGAGGGUGACCGGCCACAUUGGGACUGAGAUACGGCCCAGACUCCUACGGGAGGGAGAAGUGGGGAAUAUUGCACAAUGGGCGGAGGCCUGAUGCAGAAACGCCGCGUGCGGGAUGACGGCCUUAGGGUUGUAAACCGCUUGCGCCUGUGACGAAGCGUGAGUGACGGUAAUGGGUAAAGAAGCACCGGCUAAAUACGUG
This 468-nucleotide ribosomal RNA is filed under the name uncultured bacterium. Its description in RNAcentral is "partial 16S ribosomal RNA". It matches the Rfam family "Bacterial small subunit ribosomal RNA", at positions 28 to 507 of the family's 1533-position model. The record is from RNAcentral.